This 103-nucleotide microRNA precursor is filed under the name Marmota monax (woodchuck). The record is from RNAcentral. Lineage: Eukaryota; Metazoa; Chordata; Mammalia; Rodentia; Sciuridae.
AGAGAGAUAGCUGGAUUAAAUGGUGUUUCCAUUCCCAGAUUUCCAAGGAAUCUCCAUACUGUUUUCCAUAUUGGCUGCACCAAUUUGCAGUUCCACUAGCUGU